Molecule: ribosomal RNA, 466 nt
Filed under: uncultured bacterium
Lineage: Bacteria
Description: partial 16S ribosomal RNA
Rfam family: Bacterial small subunit ribosomal RNA
Source: RNAcentral
GAUGAACGCUGGCGGCGUGCUUAACACAUGCAAGUCGAACGAUGAAGCCGAGCUUGCUGGGUGGCUUAGUGGCGAAAGGGUGGGUAACACGUGUGUAACCGGCACUUGACUCUGGGAUAAGCGCUGGAACCGGCGGCUAAUACCGGAUACGAGCUUCCACCGCAUGGUGAGUUGCUGGAAAGAAUUUCGGUCAUGGAUGGACUCGCGGCCUACCAGGUCGUUGGUGAGGUCACGGCUCACCAAGCCGACGACCGGUAGCCUGCCUGAGAGGGGGGCCGGCCACGCUGGGCCUGGGCCACGGCACAGCCUCCUCUGCUAGGCAGCAGUGGGGAAUGUUGCACAAUGGGCGCAAGCCUGAUGCAGCACCGCCGCGUGAGGGACGAAGGCCUUCGGGUAGUAAACCUCUUUUAGCAGGGAAGAAGCGAAAGUGACGGUACCUGCAGAAGAAGCACCGGCUAACUACGUG